RNAcentral lists this transfer RNA (74 nucleotides) under Clostridium sp. RNAcentral's name for it is "tRNA-Met". It matches the Rfam family "tRNA". From Rfam's summary of the family: Transfer RNA (tRNA) molecules are approximately 80 nucleotides in length. Lineage: Bacteria; Bacillati; Bacillota; Clostridia; Eubacteriales; Clostridiaceae. The record is from RNAcentral. RNAcentral also lists the same sequence under 8 other names.
GGGUCUUUAGCUCAGUUGGUUAGAGCAUCCGGCUCAUAACCGGACGGUCCCGGGUUCAAGUCCCUGAAGACCCA